UCCCUGAUAGCUCAGUUGCUAAAGAAUUUGCCUGCAAUGCAGGAGACCCUGGUUCAAUUCCUGGGUAGGGAA
This 72-nucleotide transfer RNA is filed under the name Ovis aries (sheep). It matches the Rfam family "tRNA". From Rfam's summary of the family: Transfer RNA (tRNA) molecules are approximately 80 nucleotides in length. Their secondary structure includes four short double-helical elements and three loops (D, anti-codon, and T loops). Further hydrogen bonds mediate the characteristic L-shaped molecular structure. tRNAs have two regions of fundamental functional importance: the anti-codon, which is responsible for specific mRNA codon recognition, and the 3' end, to which the tRNAs corresponding amino acid is attached (by aminoacyl-tRNA synthetases). tRNAs cope with the degeneracy of the genetic code in two manners: having more than one tRNA (with a specific anti-codon) for a particular amino acid; and 'wobble' base-pairing, i.e. permitting non-standard base-pairing at the 3rd anti-codon position. The record is from Rfam by way of RNAcentral. Lineage: Eukaryota; Metazoa; Chordata; Mammalia; Artiodactyla; Bovidae.